UGUGUCCCUCUGUGUCCCUAUGUGUCCCCAUGUGUCCCUCUGUGUCCCCAUGUGUCCCCACGUGUCCCUCUGUGUCCCUAUGGUCCCUCUGUGUCCCCAUGUGUCCCCACGUGUCCCCACGUGUCCCCAUGGUCCCUCUGUGUCCCUAUGGUCCCCAUGUGUCCCCAUGUGUCCUUCUGUGUCCCUCUGUGUCCCCAUGUGUCCCUCUGUGUCCCUCUGUGUCCCCACGUGUCCCCGCUGUCCCCACGCUGUGCCGCGCAGGCGCGGCGCUGGCUGCGUUUCGGCCCGUUGGAGGCGGAGGCCGUUUGCGUGGGCUGCGCGCGGGGCUCCGUGGGGCGGCGCUGCCAGAGCUGCAGGGACGGCUUCUUCCUCCUGCACGGCCGCUGCGUGCGGUGAGCGCCCCACGGCCGCCCCAUGGCUGCCCCAUAGCUGCCCCAUAACUACCCCAUAACUACCCUAUAACUGCCCCAUAGCUGCCCCAUACCUGCCCCAUAGCCGCACCAUCGCUGCCCCAUGGCUGCCCCAUAGCCGCCCCAUAGCCGCCCCAUAGCCGCCCCAUAGCUGCCCCAUAGCCGCCCCAUAACUACCCUAUAACUGCCCCACAGCUGCCCCAUAGCCGCCCCAUAGCUGCCCUAUAACUACCCUAUAACUGCCCUAUAACUGCCCCAUAGCCAC
Molecule: long non-coding RNA, 675 nt
Filed under: Phasianus colchicus (ring-necked pheasant)
Lineage: Eukaryota; Metazoa; Chordata; Aves; Galliformes; Phasianidae
Description: lncRNA (ENSPCLG00000020101.1)
Source: RNAcentral